Molecule: non-coding RNA, 100 nt
Filed under: Prevotella sp.
Lineage: Bacteria; Pseudomonadati; Bacteroidota; Bacteroidia; Bacteroidales; Prevotellaceae
Also listed under: 1 other name
Description: TPP sequence
Rfam family: TPP riboswitch aptamer (THI element)
About the family: Vitamin B(1) in its active form thiamin pyrophosphate (TPP) is an essential coenzyme that is synthesised by coupling of pyrimidine and thiazole moieties in bacteria. The previously detected thiamin-regulatory element, thi box was extended, resulting in a new, highly conserved RNA secondary structure, the THI element, which is widely distributed in eubacteria and also occurs in some archaea.
Source: RNAcentral
AGUAACAGGCAGGGGUGCUGAACAGAAAUGUUUGGCUGAGAAGAGACCCUUACCACCUGAAGCGGACAAUACCGACGCAGGGAGCCAUGACAAUUCUACC